This 583-nucleotide long non-coding RNA is filed under the name Pan troglodytes (chimpanzee). RNAcentral's name for it is "long non-coding RNA NONPTRT015938". Lineage: Eukaryota; Metazoa; Chordata; Mammalia; Primates; Hominidae. The record is from RNAcentral.
GGUGGGUGGAUAAGAAAGAUCAGGAGGUGUGGUUGGAGGCUGCUGCGGCUGAGAAGGCAAGACGGGGACAUGUGGGUGCUCAGCUUGGGAGGGGAGGAAUCGAGGCUGGAUCCAGGGCUGACCUGAAAGCUGGGUUGGAUGGUCUUCCCUGGCAGAGUGCCCCCCUGGGGAAAUGUGGCAGCAGGUGGCCCCGGGGAGCUGGGGCUCUGCGAGCAGACGUGCCUGGAGAUGAAUGCCACAGAGACCCAGAGUAACUGCAGUUCAGCUCGAGCCUCGGGCUGCGUGUGCCAGCCCGGGCACUUCCGCAGCCAGGCAGGCCCCUGCGUCCCCGAAGACCACUGCGAGUGCUGGCACCUCGGGCAUCCCCACCUGCCUGGAUCUGAAUGGCAGGAGGCCUGUGAGAGCUGCCUCUGCCUCAGUGGGAGGCCUGUCUGCACCCAGCACUGCUCCCCACUCACCUGUGCUCAGGGCGAGGAGAUGGUGCUGGAGCCAGGGAGCUGCUGUCCCUCUUGCCGCAGGGAGGCUCCGGAGGAGCAGUCGCCCUCCUGCCAGCUCCUCACGGAGCUUCGAAACUUCACCAAAG